AGUGAACGCUGGCGGUAGGCUUAACACAUGCAAGUCGAACGGCAGCACAGUACUAGCUUGCUCUGACGGGUGGCGAGUGGCGGACGGGAGAGGAAUACAUCGGGCUCUACUUUUUGGUGGGGGUUAAGGUAGGGAGACUUAAGAUCAUACCGCAUCCGAUCUUGGGGUGAAGGCGGGGGAUCUUCGGACCUUGCGCGGUUGAAUGCGCGGCUGUCGGAUUAGCUAGUUGGCGGGGUACAUGCCCACCCAGGCGACGAUACGUAGCUGGUCUGUGUGAAGGAUCAGCGGCACUAGAACUGAGACACCGUCCAGACUCCUACGGGAGGGAGCAGUGGGGAAUAUUGGACAAUAGGCGCAAGCCUGAUCCAGCCAUCGCGCGUGGGUGAAGAAGGCCUUGGGGUUGUAAAGCCCUUUUGUUGGGAAAGAAAAGCAGCAGGUUAAUACCCCGCUGUUCUGACGGUACCCAAAGAAUAAGCACCGGCUAACUUCGUG
Molecule: ribosomal RNA, 492 nt
Filed under: uncultured bacterium
Lineage: Bacteria
Description: partial 16S ribosomal RNA
Rfam family: Bacterial small subunit ribosomal RNA
Source: RNAcentral